ACAUAUUGUACUGGAUCUCUACCUGACCUUAAGUGACCCUGUUUAGCCCAUACUGGGCUACCAGCUCAUGUAGCCAAGCUCUCGGUGACUCAGGCUGUGGGGAAGAGUCAGCCACUCUUCAAAGAUGACCAGGCAGCUGUCAAUGGUACAAAACAAUAUGUCAUAGCCUUCUCUGCCACAGCCUGCUGCUGCCACCACCACCAUCUUCUCCCUCCCUCCCCUGUAAAUGUGUUUCUGUGGCAGCAGUGGUGAGGACCAUGGCAGCAAUAAGAGCUGCCACCACUCCUGGCAAUAGCCCACUCCUUGAGGGGACCAACUAAUACCAGCUAAUGGCCAGGCAAGUUCUCAGAGUAUUUGAAAGGGAAUCUGUUUCCUGCCAGCAUACACUGGCAGCAGAGCAAACAGCUCCGGGUCACCUGAUUUACCUCCCUGAAGGGUUGAGAAAGAAUUGGAAAAGAUAUCCUAUCAGUUACUGUACAAGAGAGUUGCUGGGCACAAAUGCAUCGCUGGCUAAGAAAAAUAAACCACAUGCGAUGACUGCUCACUUGAUCUUGGUUGAAAGGAGAUGCCACGAUCCUGCAGUGCUCCUGCCACUAGCUGGUAGGAUCCCAUAUGAUAACCAUCAAUAAAGUAUCAUUGAUGCUCUGGCCCUGCCCUCCAUUCACAUCCCACCAGAAGCUGUACUCAAUUUUCAGCUGCACUCAGCUGUGCCUUUUUGAUUCCUCCUUGGCUUCCAGGAGGCAUAAAAGGUCCUUCGGGACUCCUUUCUUUCUUCAAGCAGUGAAACCUUGGUCACUGGGCUACCUUUUUAGUGGUGAUUCCCUCUGGUGGGGUGAGUACUUUUCCUUUCUGUCUGAAUCUUUUUGAACCACAAAGGACUCUGUUUUAUGCAGGUAUGAGAAGCAUCUCCUGAUAAAUAAUAUAUUUUUGUUUGUGCAGGCAUUUCUUUCUUAGUUGUGUGGGGAGAAAGUUGGCAGGUGAGUAAUAUAAGUAAAGUGAUGCAUGUGAGAGCUUCUUUCUUUGCAAUGCAUACUUUAGGCGUAGCCUAUCUGAGGGAAUCUGGAAGCGAGAGCUGAAACAAGUUUCUCCAUGUUUCUCAUAUCUAUGAAACUUCAUCGCUGUGGUGGAAACACCUGCCUCCUUUUCCCCAAAAGAAUCAAGUUACCCUGUUGUUAGUUGACCUCUUUGGCUGAACUCAAAGGAUUUAGAGUUAUUCUUUUUUUUUCCUUGUUAUUCUUCUAGACCUGUGGUUCUCUUGCAUUUCCAUGAACCUGGCUACUCUCGCAGUGUCCACCCACAUGUUCUUUUGGGCAGAGUUUUUGAAGAAUUACAUUUCUGAUGUACUCUUCCCAGAAAUUCCCAAGUGGCAUGGCUAGUGCUGUGGUUCUCAAUGUUGGGGCCCUGGAAGGUUCUUGGUCUAAAACUCCCAGAAGUCUUCCCCACUAGCUGUCCUGGCCAGGAUUUCUGGGAGUUGUUGUCCAAGAAUAUGUGGAGACCCAAGGUUGGGAGCUAUUGGGCUAGUGGCUGUGCUAGUUGUUGGUGGGGGGAAUAUGGGAUUAGUAGUCCAAGCAAAAUUACUAUUUGAAGCUCUACCCUGAAGUUGCUUUUUUUCCCAUCCAAACUCUUGGCUUAUUUAUUUGCGAUGUUGUCAGAGAAGACAUUUCUUAUGGGUUCACCUUGCCUUGUUCAUGGAAUGUAGUAGGGAUCCAGCUAAAAUCAUUUUCUAUUUGUAACCAAACUCUUGUUUCCUUACCCCUUUCCCCUUGUUUAUAAUUUUAAAAAGCCAGUGUGGAAUUAAAAAAAAAACACCAGAAUCAUCUAUGUAUACAGUACUCUUCAAGCACUCCAAGAGCUCAGAUGCACCAUUUCACAUUGUGAUUCUCCUUUUGUCAUUUGGAAAAAGAAGUUAAAAUGUAAUGUAAAGAAUGGCAUGUAAAAAAAUCUUAUGGUAUUUGUAAAAUGCAUGGCACUAAAAUUUUAUUUAGCUUUAUAAUUACACUGUAGGUUGAGGUGAAAGAGGAUAAUGAAGACACAAGGUGGUGAAAAGAGGCUUAACUUGAGAGUUCUGAUAUUCUGGAGGAGCACUUAAAAACCCCAUAAAACUAUUUCACACUGCAGUAUUACUCUGCAACCAGUUAAAACUCUUACCAGAACAACCCGUCUUAAAUGCCAAAGGCCUAUCAGAUUGCAAGGAUGUUCAGUCUAGCUUCCCUUAGGAGGUAGUUUUAGAGCUGGGAAUGGGCACCAGAAACUAUGAUGGUCUACAGCAGUGGUUCUUAACCUUGGGUAACCCAGGUGUACUUGGACUGCAAUUCCCAGAAGCCUUCUCCACCAGCUAUGCUGGUUGGGGCUUCUGGGAAUUGUAGUCCAAGAACACCUGGGUUACCCAAGGCUAAGAACCACAGGUCUACAGAAACCAGAGUUCACCAAAAACAGUAGUUUCAGGUCAUGGCUACCUACCAUGACUGGUGGCUUUCUGGGAUGCUGGGCACCGACCUUAUCCUCACAUCAGCUCCUGAGUCCUUCAACCAUAGCCUAAAUCUAGAAUGACCUGCUGCAUGCAAAGCGUGUGCUCUGGCCUUGACCUUGACCAAGGUAUCCUCAGUGGGCCAGUUUAAGAGCUGAGAUAGGCAAACAUGCAUAUAUCCUCUCAUGCUGUGCCUCUCUUCUUCGUUGCUUCAUGCAAUGUUUCAGAAUGGGACUGGGGGGGGGUCCACCAGUGCUCCUGAAGCCCUCACAAAUAAAAUUGUGGGUAGCUUGUCCUCUACA
Molecule: long non-coding RNA, 2769 nt
Organism: Pogona vitticeps (central bearded dragon)
Lineage: Eukaryota; Metazoa; Chordata; Lepidosauria; Squamata; Agamidae
Source: Ensembl